RNAcentral lists this ribosomal RNA (261 nucleotides) under uncultured archaeon. Its description in RNAcentral is "partial 16S ribosomal RNA". It matches the Rfam family "Archaeal small subunit ribosomal RNA", at positions 748 to 1009 of the family's 1478-position model. The record is from RNAcentral.
CAGCCGUAAACAAUGUGUGUUAGGUAUGUCGGUAACCACGUGUUACUGAUGUGCCGAAGAGAAAUCGUGAAACGCACCACCUGGGAAGUACGGUCGCAAGGCUGAAACUUAAAGGAAUUAGCGGGGGAGCACCACAACAGGUGGAGCCUGCGGUUUAAUUGGAUUCAACGCCGGACAUCUCACCGGAUAAGACAGCUGAAUGAUUGCCGGGCUGAAGACCCUGCAUGACUAGCUGAGAGGAGGUGCAUGGCGUAGACGUCU